GGGGAAUAUUGCGCAAUGGGGGAAACCCUGACGCAGCACUCCCGCGUGCGUCCAGCAGCUCUUCGGAUCGUCAAGCUCUGCUAUCGGGGGAGAACAAACGCCGGUACCCAAGAAGAAAGUUCCGGCUAACUACGUGCCAGCAGCCGCGGUAAUACGUAGGGGACAAGCGUUGUCCGGAUUUACUGGGCGUAAAGGGCACGCAGGCGGUUUUUUAAGUCAGAUGUGAAAGGUACCGGCUCAACCGGUGACAUGCAUUUGAAACUGAAAGACUUGAGUAUUGGAGAGGCAAGUGGAAUUCCUAGUGUAGCGGUGAAAUGCGUAGAUAUUAGGAGGAACACCGGUGGCGAAGGCGGCUUGCUGGACAAAUACUGACGCUGAGGUGCGAAAGCGUGGGGAGCAAACA
Molecule: ribosomal RNA, 403 nt
Filed under: uncultured Acetobacterium sp.
Lineage: Bacteria; Bacillati; Bacillota; Clostridia; Eubacteriales; Eubacteriaceae
Description: bacterial SSU rRNA
Rfam family: Bacterial small subunit ribosomal RNA
Source: RNAcentral